RNAcentral lists this ribosomal RNA (406 nucleotides) under uncultured bacterium. RNAcentral describes it as "partial 16S ribosomal RNA". It matches the Rfam family "Bacterial small subunit ribosomal RNA", at positions 29 to 526 of the family's 1533-position model. The record is from RNAcentral.
AUUGAACGCUGGCGGCAGGCCUAACACAUGCAAGUCGAGCGAGCGGCGGACGGGUGAGUAAUGUCUGGGAAACUGCCUGAUGGAGGGGGAUAACUACUGGAAACGGUAGCUAAUACCGCACACCAUCAGAUGUGCCCAGAUGGGAUUAGCUAGUAGGUGGGGUAACGGCGCACCUAGGCGACGAUCCCUAGCUGGUCUGAGAGGAUGACCAGCCACACUGGGACUGAGACACGGUCCAGACUCCUACGGGAGGCAGCAGUGGGGAAUAUUGCGAAAUGGGCGCAAGCCUGAUGCAGCCAUGCCGCGUGUGUGAAGAAGGCCUUCGGGUUGUAAAGCACUUUCAGCGGGGAGGCGUUACCCGCAGAAGAAGCACCGGCUAACUCCGUGCCAGCAGCCGCGGUAAUUC